Amphilophus citrinellus (Midas cichlid) is the source of this 62-nucleotide microRNA precursor. The record is from Ensembl. NCBI's taxonomy places the organism in Eukaryota, Metazoa, Chordata, Actinopteri, Cichliformes, Cichlidae.
ACCGUGGCUUUAGAUUGUUACUCUAGCAACAGCACCAUGGUAACAGUCUACAGCCAUGGUCG